This 516-nucleotide ribosomal RNA is filed under the name uncultured bacterium. RNAcentral's name for it is "bacterial SSU rRNA". It matches the Rfam family "Bacterial small subunit ribosomal RNA", at positions 19 to 518 of the family's 1533-position model. The record is from RNAcentral.
CUGGCUCAGGACGACGCUGGCGGCGUGCCUAACACAUGCAAGUCGAGCGGGGACUGCACGACGGAUUGAAGAUUUCGGUUGGAUAUGAAGAUGUACAGUUCUAGCGGCGGACGGGUGAGUAACGCGUGAGCAACCUGUCCCUUACAGGGGGAUAACACAGCGAAAGUUGUACUAAUACCGCAUGAGACCACGAUAUCACAUGGUAUAGGGGGUCAAAGGAGCAAUCCGGUAAGGGGUGGGCUCGCGUCCGAUUAGAUAGUUGGUGAGGUAACGGCCCACCAAGUCGACGAUCGGUAGCCGACCUGAGAGGGUGAUCGGCCACAUUGGGACUGAGACACGGCCCAAACUCCUACGGGAGGCAGCAGUGGGGAAUAUUGGGCAAUGGGGGGAACCCUGAACCCCCAGCAACGCCGCGUGAGGGAAGAAGGUUUUCGGAUCGUAAACCUCUGUCCUAUGUGAAGAGGAAGAGACGGUAGCAUAGGAGGAAGCCCCGGCUAACUACGUGCCAGCAGCCGC